Long non-coding RNA from Bos mutus (wild yak), 1557 nucleotides. NCBI's taxonomy places the organism in Eukaryota, Metazoa, Chordata, Mammalia, Artiodactyla, Bovidae. The record is from Ensembl.
GUGCUUUACAAUGUUAGUACGGCAAAAUGAAUCAGCCAUCUGUGUCCAUAUAUCCCCUCUCUUUUGAACUUGCUUCGCAUUCAGAUCAUCCCAGUGCAUUAAGGUAGAGUUCCCUGUGCUAUAGAGUAUGUUCCCAUUAGUUACCUAUUUUACGCUUAGUAUGAAUAGUGUAAUCGCAAUCCCCCAAUUCAAACAAACUUUCUUUUAUUUAUUCAUCCAUCCUCACAUCCUUCCGUCCAGUUAAAUAUUUAUUAGGCCUGGUUCCUAAGCUGGCAACGUAUCAGCAAAGACAGUUCUUGCCCUUUGAAAGUUGAUAUUCAGUUGAGAGAGGAAAUGGGUAAGUGAAUGGAUACUUCAGAUAGUGACAAGUCCUGUAAAUGAGAUACAGUAGAAGAGGGGAGAGACUAAAGAGGACUGGAGGUGCUAUUUUAGCUAGGAAGGCAGGGGAGGCCUCUGCGGGGGGUGACUUCGAGAGGGACUGAAGGGUGAGUGUCACCCACUCACCGCACAUUUGGGAGACAGGCCUUCUAGGCUGAGGCAGCAGCAGGCAGGCAGGUGCGACAGAAGCAGAGGAAAAGCCUGAGACAGCCCUGAGAAUGCGCUGACAUCCGUAGUAUGGAUACAAGAUUCUGCACCGCGGCUGGCAGCGAGGUGGGGACAGCACCAGAGCAGCUGCGUACCAGAUUGCUCAGCUGAAUACCCUUAUAAACAUGCUGUUGGGUGAUUCACCCCAGGCGAUCAUCAGGAGAUCAUGACAAUGUGCACAGUUGAUGGACACAUGAAGGAUGUGGCAGUCGAGCUUGGAGCAGAGAAGGCAUGAUCAAGAACCCUUAGGGAUUUUGAUAUUCCCUCAGAUAAGAACAAACAGUGUCUCCGGCUUUCUGGACUUUAUCUGGGACUUAUUUCUUUCGGUGCAAGUUCCACGAAAAGAGCACCGUGAACUCGGAGCAGAUGGUGCAUCCGUCCAUUGCUGAGCUCCACUUGCAGCCUGAGGAAAACUUUAUACCGAAGGUGGAAAUAAUGGCUUUCUGCUCAGUUUGUUGUAAAUUCUAAAUGGGGUGAUGGAAGCCUGUAAUGAUCACUGUUGUUCAACGCCUCUGGGCUCCAACAUCUGGCAAAUGCCUUUACUAGCUGACAGCUGUUAGCCUUGGUAUCACAGUGUGCUGCCCAGAGCUUUUGUUCUAAGUAGGCUGGGAAUCGGGCUUGAAGCAAGUAUCAACUAGUUCGUGUAUCAAGAUGUUAAAGAGAGAGAAAACAAUUUUAUUUUCAGGAUUAAUUUCACUAUGGUACAUUUAGUAAAAACAGAGCCUUUUGCAUAUUGUUAUGGAAAUGCUGCAGGCUCUUACCCUCAAAACCCAAGAUUUUUAUUACAUUUUUAGCACAAGAGUGUAAAUUAAUAUUCUAAGCCAUUUAGCCUCUGUCAGAGAUAAAUCCAAAUUGCUAACAAGCACAAGAUAAAUUUAGGAAAAUUGGCUUAUGUCCUGAGAUCAGGUUUGAAGAUGAAUCCGUAGAACUUAUACAACAGAAAAUAAAACAGUUCGCAUUUUGGAGAUAACA